AGAUCGAACUGUAGAGUUUGAUCCUGGCUCAGAUUGAACGCUGGCGGCAUGCCUUACACAUGCAAGUCGAACGGUAACAGGUCUUCGGACGCUGACGAGUGGCGAACGGGUGAGUAAUACAUCGGAACGUGCCCAGUCGUGGGGGAUAACUACUCGAAAGAGUAGCUAAUACCGCAUACGAUCUGAGGAUGAAAGCGGGGGACCUUCGGGCCUCGCGCGAUUGGAGCGGCCGAUGGCAGAUUAGGUAGUUGGUGGGAUAAAAGCUUACCAAGCCGACGAUCUGUAGCUGGUCUGAGAGGACGACCAGCCACACUGGGACUGAGA
This 324-nucleotide ribosomal RNA is filed under the name Delftia sp. UME58. RNAcentral's name for it is "bacterial SSU rRNA". It matches the Rfam family "Bacterial small subunit ribosomal RNA", at positions 1 to 324 of the family's 1533-position model. Lineage: Bacteria; Pseudomonadati; Pseudomonadota; Betaproteobacteria; Burkholderiales; Comamonadaceae. The record is from RNAcentral.